GUAGGUGAACCUGCGGAAGGAUCAUUACAGAGUUCAUGCCCUUACGGGUAGAUCUCCCACCCUUGAAUAUAUUACCUUUGUUGCUUUGGCAGGCCGCGUUUACGCCAGAGGCUUCGGCUUUUGAGCGCCUGCCAGAGGACCACAACUCUGUUUUUAGUGAUGUCUGAGUACUAUAUAAUAGUUAAAACUUUCAACAACGGAUCUCUUGGUUCUG
This 214-nucleotide unclassified non-coding RNA is filed under the name rhizosphere metagenome. Its description in RNAcentral is "partial ribosomal RNA internal transcribed spacer region". The record is from RNAcentral.